CGGAGGGUGCAAGCGUUAAUCGGAAUUACUGGGCGUAAAGGGUUCGUAGGUGGUUUAUUAAGUUAUUUGUAAAAUCCCUGGGCUUAACCUGGGCAGGUCAGAUAAUACUGGUAGACUCGAGUAUGGGAGAGGGUAGUGGAAUUUCCGGUGUAGCGGUGAAAUGCGUAGAGAUCGGAAGGAACACCAGUGGCGAAGGCGGCUACCUGGCCUAAUACUGACACUGAGGAACGAAAGCGUGGGGAGCAAACAGGAUUAGAUACCCUGGUAGUCCACGCCGUAAACGAUGUCAACUAGCUGUUGGUCAUAUUGAUAUGAUUAGUGGCGCAGCAAACGCGAUAAGUUGACCGCCUGGGGGAGUACGGUCGCAAGAUUA
RNAcentral lists this ribosomal RNA (373 nucleotides) under uncultured organism. RNAcentral's name for it is "bacterial SSU rRNA". It matches the Rfam family "Bacterial small subunit ribosomal RNA", at positions 526 to 896 of the family's 1533-position model. The record is from RNAcentral.